GAUCAGCGAAGGACUGCCUUAAUUCAUGAUC
This 31-nucleotide non-coding RNA is filed under the name unclassified sequences. The record is from Rfam.